Molecule: ribosomal RNA, 530 nt
Filed under: uncultured bacterium
Lineage: Bacteria
Description: bacterial SSU rRNA
Rfam family: Bacterial small subunit ribosomal RNA
Source: RNAcentral
CCUUGACAUACUAAGAACUUUCCAGAGAUGGAUUGGUGCCUUCGGGAACUUAGAUACAGGUGCUGCAUGGCUGUCGUCAGCUCGUGUCGUGAGAUGUUGGGUUAAGUCCCGCAACGAGCGCAACCUUUUCCUUAUUUGCCAGCGGGUCAUGCCGGGAACUUUAAGGAUACUGCCAGUGACAAACUGGAGGAAGGCGGGGACGACGUCAAGUCAUCAUGGCCCUUACGGCCAGGGCUACACACGUGCUACAAUGGUCGGUGCAAAGGGUUGCUACCUCGCGAGAGGAUGCUAAUCUCAAAAAGCCGAUCGUAGUCCGGAUCGCAGUCUGCAACUCGACUGCGUGAAGUCGGAAUCGCUAGUAAUCGCGGAUCAGAAUGCCGCGGUGAAUACGUUCCCGGGCCUUGUACACACCGCCCGUCACACCAUGGGAGUUUGUUGCACCAGAAGUAGGUAGUCUAACCGCAAGGAGGACGCUUACCACGGUGUGGCCGAUGACUGGGGUGAAGUCGUAACAAGGUAGGCGUAGAUGA